AGUGAACGCUGGCGGUAGGCCUAACACAUGCAAGUCGAACGGCAGCACAGUAAGAGCUUGCUCUUACGGGUGGCGAGUGGCGGACGGGUGAGGAAUACAUCGGAAUCUACUUUUUCUUGGGGGAUAACGUAGGGAAACUUACGCUAAUACCGCAUACGACCUACGGGUGAAAGCAGGGGAUCUUCGGACCUUGCGCGAUUGAAUGAGCCGAUGUCGGAUUAGCUAGUUGGCGGGUUAAAGGCCCACCAAGGCGACGAUCCGUAGCUGGUCUGAGAGGAUGAUCAGCCACACUGGAACUGAGACACGGUCCAGACUCCUACGGGAGGCAGCAGUGGGGAAUAUUGGACAAUGGGCGCAAGCCUGAUCCAGCAAUACCGCGUGGGUGAAGAAGGCCUUCGGGUUGUAAAGCCCUUUUGUUGGGAAAGAAAAGCAGCAGGUUAAUACCCCGCUGUUCUGACGGUACCCAAAGAAUAAGCACCGGCUAACUUCGUG
RNAcentral lists this ribosomal RNA (492 nucleotides) under uncultured bacterium. Its description in RNAcentral is "partial 16S ribosomal RNA". It matches the Rfam family "Bacterial small subunit ribosomal RNA", at positions 29 to 507 of the family's 1533-position model. The record is from RNAcentral.